GCUGGCGGCAGGCCUAACACAUGCAAGUCGAACGGCAGCACAGAGGAGCUUGCUCCUUGGGUGGCGAGUGGCGGACGGGUGAGGAAUACGUCGGAAUCUGCCUAUUUGUGGGGGAUAACGUAGGGAAACUUACGCUAAUACCGCAUACGACCUACGGGUGAAAGUGGGGGACCGCAAGGCCUCACGCAGAUAGAUGAGCCGACGUCGGAUUAGCUAGUUGGCGGGGUAAAGGCCCACCAAGGCGACGAUCCGUAGCUGGUCUGAGAGGAUGAUCAGCCACACUGGAACUGAGACACGGUCCAGACUCCUACGGGAGGCAGCAGUGGGGAAUAUUGGACAAUGGGCGCAAGCCUGAUCCAGCCAUGCCGCGUGUGUGAAGAAGGCCUUCGGGUUGUAAAGCACUUUUGUCCGGAAAGAAAAGCUUAGGGUUAAUAACCCUGAGUCAUGACGGUACCGGAAGAAUAAGCACCGGCUAACUUCGUGCCAGCAGCCGCGGUAAUACGAAGGGUGCAAGCGUUACUCGGAAUUACUGGGCGUAAAGCGUGCGUAGGUGGUUUGUUAAGUCUGAUGUGAAAGCCCUGGGCUCAACCUGGGAAUGGCAUUGGAAACUGGCUUACUAGAGUGCGGUAGAGGGUAGCGG
RNAcentral lists this ribosomal RNA (640 nucleotides) under uncultured bacterium. RNAcentral describes it as "bacterial SSU rRNA". It matches the Rfam family "Bacterial small subunit ribosomal RNA", at positions 35 to 664 of the family's 1533-position model. The record is from RNAcentral.